AUGCAGAGGGUGCGAGCGUUAAUCGGAAUUACUGGGCGUAAAGCGCGCGUAGGCGGCUACUUAAGUCAGAUGUGAAAUCCCCGGGCUCAACCUGGGAACUGCAUCUGAUACUGGGUAGCUAGAGUUUAGGAGAGGGAAGUAGAAUUUCAGGUGUAGCGGUGAAAUGCAUAGAGAUCUGAAGGAAUACCAGUGGCGAAGGCGGUUUCCUGGCCUAAAACUGACGCUGAGGUGCGAAAGCGUGGGUAGCAAACGGGAUUAGAAACCCCGGUAGUCC
RNAcentral lists this ribosomal RNA (274 nucleotides) under uncultured bacterium. RNAcentral describes it as "partial 16S ribosomal RNA". It matches the Rfam family "Bacterial small subunit ribosomal RNA", at positions 523 to 796 of the family's 1533-position model. The record is from RNAcentral.